Molecule: ribosomal RNA, 1383 nt
Filed under: uncultured bacterium
Lineage: Bacteria
Description: bacterial SSU rRNA
Rfam family: Bacterial small subunit ribosomal RNA
Source: RNAcentral
AGAGUUUGAUCCUGGCUCAGAUGGAACGCUGGCGGCAGGCCUAACACAUGCAAGUCGAACGGUAACAGGAAACAGCUUGCUGUUUCGCUGACGAGUGGCGGACGGGUGAGUAAUGUCUGGGAAACUGCCUGAUGGAGGGGGAUAACUACUGGAAACGGUAGCUAAUACCGCAUAACGUCGCAAGACCAAAGAGGGGGACCCUCGGGCCUCUUGCCAUCGGAUGUGCCCAGAUGGGAUUAGCUUGUUGGUGGGGUAACGGCUCACCAAGGCGACGAUCCCUAGCUGGUCUGAGAGGAUGACCAGCCACACUGGAACUGAGACACGGUCCAGACUCCUACGGGAGGCAGCAGUGGGGAAUAUUGCACAAUGGGCGCAAGCCUGAUGCAGCCAUGCCGCGUGUAUGAAGAAGGCCUUCGGGUUGUAAAGUACUUUCAGCGGGGAGGAAGGGAGUAAAGUUAAUACCUUUGCUCAUUGACGUUACCCGCAGAAGAAGCACCGGCUAACUCCGUGCCAGCAGCCGCGGUAAUACGGAGGGUGCAAGCGUUAAUCGGAAUUACUGGGCGUAAAGCGCACGCAGGCGGUUUGUUAAGUCAGAUGUGAAAUCCCCGGGCUCAACCUGGGAACUGCAUCUGAUACUGGCAAGCUUGAGUCUCGUAGAGGGGGGUAGAAUUCCAGGUGUAGCGGUGAAAUGCGUAGAGAUCUGGAGGAAUACCGGUGGCGAAGGCGGCCCCCUGGACGAAGACUGACGCUCAGGUGCGAAAGCGUGGGGAGCAAACAGGAUUAGAUACCCUGGUAGUCCACGCCGUAAACGAUGUCGACUUGGAGGUUGUGCCCUUGAGGCGUGGCUUCCGGAGCUAACGCGUUAAGUCGACCGCCUGGGGAGUACGGCCGCAAGGUUAAAACUCAAAUGAAUUGACGGGGGCCCGCACAAGCGGUGGAGCAUGUGGUUUAAUUCGAUGCAACGCGAAGAACCUUACCUGGUCUUGACAUCCACGGAAGUUUUCAGAGAUGAGAAUGUGCCUUCGGGAACCGUGAGACAGGUGCUGCAUGGCUGUCGUCAGCUCGUGUUGUGAAAUGUUGGGUUAAGUCCCGCAACGAGCGCAACCCUUAUCCUUUGUUGCCAGCGGUCCGGCCGGGAACUCAAAGGAGACUGCCAGUGAUAAACUGGAGGAAGGUGGGGAUGACGUCAAGUCAUCAUGGCCCUUACGACCAGGGCUACACACGUGCUACAAUGGCGCAUACAAAGAGAAGCGACCUCGCGAGAGCAAGCGGACCUCAUAAAGUGCGUCGUAGUCCGGAUUGGAGUCUGCAACUCGACUCCAUGAAGUCGGAAUCGCUAGUAAUCGUGGAUCAGAAUGCCACGGUGAAUACGUUCCCGGGCCU